This 424-nucleotide ribosomal RNA is filed under the name uncultured bacterium. Its description in RNAcentral is "bacterial SSU rRNA". It matches the Rfam family "Bacterial small subunit ribosomal RNA", at positions 49 to 453 of the family's 1533-position model. The record is from RNAcentral.
UCGAGCGAGCUUGCCUAGAUGAUUUUAGUGCUUGCACUAAAUGAAACUAGAUACAAGCGAGCGGCGGACGGGUGAGUAACACGUGGGUAACCUGCCCAAGAGACUGGGAUAACACCUGGAAACAGAUGCUAAUACCGGAUAACAACACUAGACGCAUGUCUAGAGUUUGAAAGAUGGUUCUGCUAUCACUCUUGGAUGGACCUGCGGUGCAUUAGCUAGUUGGUAAGGUAACGGCUUACCAAGGCAAUGAUGCAUAGCCGAGUUGAGAGACUGAUCGGCCACAUUGGGACUGAGACACGGCCCAAACUCCUACGGGAGGCAGCAGUAGGGAAUCUUCCACAAUGGACGAAAGUCUGAUGGAGCAACGCCGCGUGAGUGAAGAAGGGUUUCGGCUCGUAAAGCUCUGUUGGUAGUGAAGAAAGAU